UGCUCAGGACGAACGCUGGCGGCGUGCCUAAUACAUGCAAGUCGAACGAACUCUGGUAUUGAUUGGUGCUUGCAUCAUGAUUUACAUUUGAGUGAGUGGCGAACUGGUGAGUAACACGUGGGAAACCUGCCCAGAAGCGGGGGAUAACACCUGGAAACAGAUGCUAAUACCGCAUAACAACUUGGACCGCAUGGUCCGAGCUUGAAAGAUGGCUUCGGCUAUCACUUUUGGAUGGUCCCGCGGCGUAUUAGCUAGAUGGUGGGGUAACGGCUCACCAUGGCAAUGAUACGUAGCCGACCUGAGAGGGUAAUCGGCCACAUUGGGACUGAGACACGGCCCAAACUCCUACGGGAGGCAGCAGUAGGGAAUCUUCCACAAUGGACGAAAGUCUGAUGGAGCAACGCCGCGUGAGUGAAGAAGGGUUUCGGCUCGUAAAACUCUGUUGUUAAAGAAGAACAUAUCUGAGAGUAACUGUUCAGGUAUUGACGGUAUUUAACCAGAAAGCCACGGCUAACUACGUGCCAGCAGCCGCGGUAAUACGUAGGUGGCAAGCGUUGUCCGGAUUUAUUGGGCGUAAAGCGAGCGCAGGCGGUUUUUUAAGUCUGAUGCUCGUAAAGCCUUCGGCUCAACCGAAGAAGUGCAUCGGAAACUGGGGAAACUUGAGUGCAGAAGAGGACAGUGGAACUCCAUGUGUAGCGGUGAAAUGCGUAGAUAUAUGGAAGAACACCAGUGGCGAAGGCGGCUGUCUGGUCUGUAACUGACGCUGAGGCUCGAAAGUAUGGGUAGCAAACAGGAUUAGAUACCCUGGUAGUCCAUACCGUAAACGAUGAAUGCUAAGUGUUGGAGGGUUUCCGCCCUUCAGUGCUGCAGCUAACGCAUUAAGCAUUCCGCCUGGGGAGUACGGCCGCAAGGCUGAAACUCAAAGGAAUUGACGGGGGCCCGCACAAGCGGUGGAGCAUGUGGUUUAAUUCGAAGCUACGCGAAGAACCUUACCAGGUCUUGACAUACUAUGCAAAUCUAAGAGAUUAGACGUUCCCUUCGGGGACAUGGAUACAGGUGGUGCAUGGUUGUCGUCAGCUCGUGUCGUGAGAUGUUGGGUUAAGUCCCGCAACGAGCGCAACCCUUAUUAUCAGUUGCCAGCAUUAAGUUGGGCACUCUGGUGAGACUGCCGGUGACAAACCGGAGGAAGGUGGGGAUGACGUCAAAUCAUCAUGCCCCUUAUGACCUGGGCUACACACGUGCUACAAUGGAUGGUACAACGAGUUGCGAACUCGCGAGAGUAAGCUAAUCUCUUAAAGCCAUUCUCAGUUCGGAUUGUAGGCUGCAACUCGCCUACAUGAAGUCGGAAUCGCUAGUAAUCGCGGAUCAGCAUGCCGCGGGUGAAAUACGUUCCCGGGCCUUGUACACACCGCCCGUCACACCAUGAGAGUUUGUAACACCCAAAGUCGGUGGGGUAACCUUUUAGGAACCAGCCGCCUAAGGUGGGACAGAUGAUUAGGGUGAAGUCU
RNAcentral lists this ribosomal RNA (1508 nucleotides) under Lactiplantibacillus plantarum. Its description in RNAcentral is "Lactobacillus plantarum partial 16S ribosomal RNA". It matches the Rfam family "Bacterial small subunit ribosomal RNA". The record is from RNAcentral. Lineage: Bacteria; Bacillati; Bacillota; Bacilli; Lactobacillales; Lactobacillaceae.